UACGGAGGAUGCAAGCGUUAUCCGGAUUUAUUGGGUUUAAAGGGUCCGCAGGCGGACCAAUAAGUCAGGGGUGAAAUCCGGCAGCUUAACUGUCGAAUUGCCUUUGAAACUGUUGGUCUUGAAUAAGAAUGAAGCAGCUGGAAUGUGUGGUGUAGCGGUGAAAUGCAUAGAUAUCACACAGAACAUCGAUAGCGAAGGCAGGUUGCUAAUUCUUUAUUGACGCUGAGGGACGAAAGCGUGGGGAGCAAACAGGAUUAGAUACCCUGGUAGUCCACGCCGUAAACGAUGGAUACUGUCUGUUGGGCUUCACGGCUCAGUGGAUAAGCGAAAGUGAUAAGUAUCCCACCUGGGGAGUGCGUUCGCAAGAAUGAA
RNAcentral lists this ribosomal RNA (372 nucleotides) under uncultured bacterium. RNAcentral's name for it is "bacterial SSU rRNA". It matches the Rfam family "Bacterial small subunit ribosomal RNA", at positions 524 to 898 of the family's 1533-position model. The record is from RNAcentral.